RNAcentral lists this ribosomal RNA (477 nucleotides) under Candidatus Scalindua brodae. RNAcentral describes it as "bacterial SSU rRNA". It matches the Rfam family "Bacterial small subunit ribosomal RNA", at positions 365 to 832 of the family's 1533-position model. The record is from RNAcentral. Lineage: Bacteria; Pseudomonadati; Planctomycetota; Candidatus Brocadiia; Candidatus Brocadiales; Candidatus Scalinduaceae.
UUCGCAAUGCCCGAAAGGGUGACGAAGCGACGCCGCGUGGGUGAGGAAGGCCUUCGGGUUGUAAAGCUCUGUCAGGAGUUAAGAAAUGUAAGUGCGCUAAUAUCGCAUUUAUUUGACGAAGGCUCCAAAGGAAGUCACGGCUAACUCUGUGCCAGCAGCCGCGGUAAUACAGAGGUGGCAAGCGUUGUUCGGAAUUAUUGGGCGUAAAGAGCACGUAGGUGGGUUUGUAAGUCAGAUGUGAAAGCCUUCUGUUCAACGGAAGAAUUGCAUCUGAAACUACGAGUCUUGAGUGUAGGAGGGGAGAAUGGAACUUCUGGUGGAGCGGUGAAAUGCGUAGAUAUCAGAAGGAACGCCGGCGGCGAAAGCGAUUCUCUGGCCUAUUACUGACACUCAGUGUGCGAAAGCUAGGGGAGCAAACGGGAUUAGAUACCCCGGUAGUCCUAGCCGUAAACGAUGGGCACUAAGUAGAGGGGUUUU